Balaenoptera acutorostrata (minke whale) is the source of this 1253-nucleotide long non-coding RNA. RefSeq lists it as uncharacterized. NCBI's taxonomy places the organism in Eukaryota, Metazoa, Chordata, Mammalia, Artiodactyla, Balaenopteridae. The record is from RefSeq and is a predicted model, not a curated record. The transcript has 7 exons.
AAGACGCGGAGAUCACCUUCCUCUCCACAAAUACAUCAGAAAUACAGCUACAUGUGGAACAACUCCUACAGAACACCUACUGAAUGCUGGCAGAAGACUUCAGACCUCCCAAAAGGCAAGAAACUCCCCACGUACCUGGGUCCACAAGCCCCACGAAGGCCAAUACCUGGGUUGUUUUGUUCACCACAGCCUCGCCAGCCCUGAAUAAAGCUCAGCACAUAAUUUUCCUCAAGAGUGCUGUGGUGGCCCCACUGGAGCAGUGUGCUGGGAGGCACAAGACCCAAAGUACGGGUCCAGCUGUGUGACUGCAGACCAGACGCUUAACCUCCUAAACACAUUAAUGCCAUUUCGCCACUGAAGGAAAGGUGAAUGACUGUGGCCAAUCACUGCUCCUGGUUUUUGUGACUCUGACAUUAUAUGAAAGGAGUUUGGGGAAAUGUAAUGGAAUAAAAGGGCCUCAGUUGAAUACAUGGCCUCUGCCUCUGGAAGUGCCUGAAACAUCAUAGCACUUCAAUACCUAUUUGCUGAUUGAAUGACUCAUUGACCAUUGCGCAAGAGGGGCUGAUGGUAUCGUAAUUGGAUUGUCAUCUCACAGGAAAAGAGAUGAGGAUCUCCACACACAUAAACCAUCCACUGUGCAGGGAUAUCCUGCAGGAGCCAGAGCCCUUCCUCAUGGAGCUGGACACACAUAUCCCCGGCCCAGGAGUCAGAGACAGGGAAGGAAAAUUCAGGGGGAGAAGAGAGCAAUGACAAGACCAGCUGCUGCUUCACAUCAAAGAGGGGACCAUCCAAGUUUACAUGGAGGAACAGCUGAAUCUUUUGGUGUCCCAGCUGUAAGCAGCUAAUUGUCACCGACUCCUUACCCCAGCAGGCCCGUGCCUGGCAGACUGUUUGCCUCGACUAGAUGGGCACCUGCCCUGUCAUGGUGUCUUCCCUCAGCCAAGCAGACACUUGGCUGUGGGAAAUGUCUUCCUGAGCAAAUGUGGUCUCAGGUAAAGAACAUAACAGGACCAGCCCAGCUCUCAUCCAACUUGGUGCUCAGGCGAUGUGCUCUGUGGGAAUCUGUCACCAUGCACCCUGCAGGGUGAGGGGAAGGAACUCUGUCUCAACUGGUGUGAAAGUACGUGAGUGGGCAGUUGCUGACAUUCCCUGCCCAUCUUUGCUGGGAUAGGCGACCUGGAACCACCUUUGAAAUCAAGAACAGAGACUAAACGGCCUGGCGGGCGUCCAGAAGGCCCCUGAAGAUGCGUGCA